RNAcentral lists this long non-coding RNA (303 nucleotides) under Capsicum annuum. Its description in RNAcentral is "long non-coding RNA (CANN_LNC008814)". Lineage: Eukaryota; Viridiplantae; Streptophyta; Magnoliopsida; Solanales; Solanaceae. The record is from RNAcentral.
CCCUCUUCUUUUCUCGUUUUUAUUUUUCUCACCGUUUUUGCUUUCUUUCUUCUUUCUGUCCCUUCCUGUGUGUUGUAUUGUGCAUGUGAUUUUGUGUGUGUACAUGUCUUUUCUCUUCCUCAUCCCUUCUGUGUUUUCUGUGCUUAAUUUCUUGUUUUUGCUUCCGUGUUGUGUGUGUUGUAUAUGUAGUAUAUGUGGGUGUGUAUCGUGUGUUUGUAUGGAGGAAGUGGGAAGAGGUUCAAUGGUAGUAUGGGGAAAGUGGGGGUAAUAGGAAGUAGGGUAGUUUUUAGGUUUUUAUUUUUU